ACGACUNUCGGCAACGGAUAUCUCGGCUCACGCAUCGAUGAAGAACGUAGCAAAAUGCGAUACUUGGUGUGAAUUGCAGAAUCCCGUGAACCAUCGAGUUUUUGAACGCAAGUUGCGCCCAAAGCCAUUUGGUUGAGGGCACGUCUGCCUGGGCGUCACGC
This 161-nucleotide ribosomal RNA is filed under the name Chevreulia acuminata. RNAcentral describes it as "5.8S ribosomal RNA". It matches the Rfam family "5.8S ribosomal RNA". Rfam says of the family: 5.8S ribosomal RNA (5.8S rRNA) is a component of the large subunit of the eukaryotic ribosome. It is transcribed by RNA polymerase I as part of the 45S precursor that also contains 18S and 28S rRNA. Functionally, it is thought that 5.8S rRNA may be involved in ribosome translocation. The record is from RNAcentral. Lineage: Eukaryota; Viridiplantae; Streptophyta; Magnoliopsida; Asterales; Asteraceae.